AGUGAACGCUGGCGGUAGGCCUAACACAUGCAAGUCGAACGGCAGCACAGUAAGAGCUUGCUCUUACGGGUGGCGAGUGGCGGACGGGUGAGGAAUACAUCGGAAUCUACUUUUUCGUGGGGGAUAACGUAGGGAAACUUACGCUAAUACCGCAUACGACCUACGGGUGAAAGCAGGGGAUCUUCGGACCUUGCGCGAUUGAAUGAGCCGAUGUCGGAUUAGCUAGUUGGCGGGGUAAAGGCCACCAAGGCGACGAUCCGUAGCUGGUCUGAGAGGAUGAUCAGCCAAACUGGAACUGAGACACGGUCCAGACUCCUACGGGAGGCAGCAGUGGGGAAUAUUGGACAAUGGGCGCAAGCCUGAUCCAGCCAUACCGCGUGGGUGAAGAAGGCCUUCGGGUUGUAAAGCCCUUUUGUUGGGAAAGAAAAGCAGCAGGUUAAUACCCCGCUGUUCUGACGGUACCCAAAGAAUAAGCACCGGCUAACUUC
This 488-nucleotide ribosomal RNA is filed under the name uncultured bacterium. RNAcentral's name for it is "partial 16S ribosomal RNA". It matches the Rfam family "Bacterial small subunit ribosomal RNA", at positions 29 to 504 of the family's 1533-position model. The record is from RNAcentral.